Non-coding RNA from Xyrichtys novacula (pearly razorfish), 12273 nucleotides. NCBI's taxonomy places the organism in Eukaryota, Metazoa, Chordata, Actinopteri, Labriformes, Labridae. The record is from the annotation of a GenBank genome assembly.
UUGGGAAACAUUAAUAAAAACAAGCCCUGCGAGUAAAAGGAGCAGCAGCUGGUGUGUCGCUGAUGAAUAGACAGAUAAGGUGGUUUUAAGCUGUUAUUUGAGGAACAAUGCUGCUACAGCCUGGAUGAGGAAAAAGCAGACACUUCUUACAACUGUAGAUAUAAGACAUAAAUCCUCAAGCACAUGUGUCAGCCACAGGAUUAAUCCAACUUAAUCCAAUUUUCAAUUUCACGUUUUUUUAAUCUGUUUACCUGGAGUGACUACACCUUCAGCACAGAUGACAAAACAAGCUAAUCCCUUAACUUAAUUUGGUAAAGGAAAACUGUUUAAAAGAAGAGGGAAAGUAUGUGCUUAACCUGAUUUAUAAGAAAAGUGGGGUUAAAUGAUGUAAAAUCCCUAGAGUGAAGGGUUUUAAGUGUCCGCGGUGAGGAAUGUGCAGGGAUUGCGGAGCUGAGAGGUUGUCUAAUGGAGAAGGUUCCCUAUUACUCAAUUAUUUCCAGCCCAGCAGCUGGAAACGAGGAUGCGGAAAUGUGCAGAUGCUUUGAGCAAAACAGGGUUGAAAGAAAGGGGGCUAAUGGUGCGCAUUAGCGUAAAGCUCUUUAUGUGGCCAUAUAUGAGGCUAAUGCUGACUCACAAGUACAUACAGGAUGUACAUUAUCAUGCUUUCCAGAGCUGCUGCACAUCAAUACAUCUCUCUGAUAGGAUCCCCUCUGAAGUAAAUAAGAUUUUAAUCAAAUAAUUUCUGGAUGACUUCCAUUUUUACCCGACGUACAGUGGUAUUUGCCUGCGGUGGUUCUAUGCUGAAAGAGGCUGUAACUCUAUUUGUAUUCGUAUCAGAGUUUCCCCAUAACUGCCUCAGUGAAAUGGUAAAAAGAUAAAUGAGUAAACGCGCCAUCUGAAUGUAUAAUACCUUAUAUUAUCAGCAUUAGCGUCCUGUCUGUGAACCAGAGCAAGAAUAGCUCUGAUUCACUAAAUCCUUAAUGGAAUAGAUGAGAAAAGACAGUGUUGAUAAAUGGAAGGAAAGCAGGGAAAACGACUUUGUCAAACUUUUCCCAUUAGGCAACCAAGUUAGCAUAAAAUUACUGAGUGGAAAAGGAACAAGGGCGGUUUGUCGUGGCGAAAGAUAAGUAAUGUACUUGAGACGGAGCGCAAAACGUGAGCAGUAAAUAGUUUCAAGGAUCUACUGUAAGGUGCUUAAACUAGCGUGUAUAAACAUGCGGAGGAGUGUAGCCGCGCAUUUAGCAAUCAUGUUGAAAGACAGAGGGAAGCGAAGAAAAAGAAACAACAAAAAAAAAGAAAAAAAAAAGAGGGUGGCAGGUUGACAGUGAAAAGGCAUGAUGCAACAAGUCUGCUCGCUCAUUCUCUUCGAGUGUCUCUCUGCAUACAAGCAUGCAUGCCAGCAGUAUUUUCUGGUCCUUCUUAGUCAUUUCUCAUGAAAAGGACAUGCAGAUUAACCACAUUCCAAAACUUGCUCAUGUUUGCUUUUAUUUCGCUAAAGCAAUUUCGUUGCCAAAUGCCAAACUGAAAGAGACACAUUCAGUGCACAAAAAAACUGCUAAAUUAUAAACUGACACGCCGACUAAAAGACCCCGAGGCAGUGUGCCGAUUCUCGCUUGAGAAAUAAAAGGAAAUCAUUAGAAGUGAAGUUUUAUUUAUUAUUUUUUUUAUCAAUAUUUUGCACCAUGACAGGAGCUAGAAAGAGAUGGAUGGAGCGCAGGAGGGUGGAAGACAUAAAAGGUGCAUGAAGAGAGAGCACAUACAGGGAGGAGAGAUGUAGCAACAGGAAGCUUUAGAGGCAAAGAGAGGGAACCAAAGAGUGAAUGAAUAAAAGAGGAGCGAAGAAAUAAAAGGAUGAAGUGUGAGUAUUAGGCUGAAAACAGAGGGAAAACUGACUGAUAUGAAUAGAGACAGGAAGCAAGUGUCUUACAUCUGGGAGUGAAGGGAGCGCCAAGAAUGAGACAAUCCAUCCUUUCUUAUUAUUUGAGGCAAAAAGCGGACAGGAAGGCAGCAGUGCACCAUGGGAGUUCUGAGGCAUUUAAUUGGGGAUGAAGAGGGCCAAGAGCCAGGUUCAAGCUGAGCUACACUGAAGAAAAGUAAUUUGAUUUUCAGGGUGAACUUUCAACCGUGUCCCAUGCUGACUCCUUGCAACCACAAAAAAAGCUGUAGAGUUCUGUGACUGAAGUGAGAAAAGCUCAUUUAGACUCACAUGAACAAAGCAGAUUCACCGGCCUUGAUGAUAAUCUGACAGAGAAGCAUCACGGUUGAUCAAAACAUCUUAAUAAGAAUGAUGAGAAGCUUUUCAAAGAUGACGGUAACUCAAAGUGGUAAACUAACCUGAUUCAUGUGUCUGUGGACCGUGGGAGUAAGCUGCAGCGCCUGAAGUGCAAACUUCACCACCCUGCUGGCCGGUGAUUCAAACCAGGAACCGUCUUGCUGUGCAGCAAGAGCGCUAACCACUAGACCACCGUGCAGCCCCGCGAAUGUGUGAUUUUUCACUCCAAAAUAAAGAGCACAGCCUGCCUCAUAAUUCAGUGUUGGUGUAGUGUAUACUCAUCAGUUAUUCAAAAAUCUACUCUCAUGUUGUGACAGAACACGGAUCAGUGCUUGAUGGAUGUAACAACAGCUCUCUAAUGGAUGAAUUAGCCUGUCUGAGAUCACACUUAGGGUUACGAGUCCAAUAGCAUUGUGUUUUUCUUUUGAAGUACUGGUAAAAAAUACUACAGCUUUAUUAUAAAUGUUCACUUUUAAGAUUAGACAAGAUACCUGAAGUUAAGUUAAAUUAAGUUGAGAUGAGAUAAGAUAUACUUUAUUGUCCUAGAGGGAAAUUCAUUGUAGGCAGAAGUGCAGGUAGACUGUAUCGCCAUACAAGACAAGACCGCGUCACAGAACAACACAUAGUAACACACAACAGCCACAAGACAACAACAUCACUUUCAAGCACAUGACAACGACAGAGCACCAAUCGUACGAUGACAUACAGUAGCAUCGAAAAGCAACAAGUGUUGACAGCACCAAAAGGCAAUAAUGAAACUAUUGCAUAACCCUGAUCCUUAAGAAAAAUAUACAAUACAACACUGAAUACAAGAGUAAGAGCAGACAAUUUGAUCAACAGUGCUAUAAUAAAAGAUGAGGCACCACUAUUAAUAAAUAAGUAUAGAAUAAAUAGAUGAGUAACUAGCCUACUAAGUAGGCGGGCAUAUUCUGGGGCUAAAUGUGGCUUAUUUUGUCAAUGCAGACAACUUUAACAUUAAAAUAAAGCCUAAAUGAGGCUUGCAUGCUCUACUUUGUAGCCAGGAGGGCUCUCUGAGUGAAGUCUGCCCAGCUUUAGGAAAGGAAUUAGAACCACAACCUUUCAGCUGUUAGUAUGUUUUCUGACUCAUAGAUGUUUGUGGUAGUUAAACUGGGAUAUAAUGCACUUUAUAGCCCACAAGCCCGGAACAAUUACUGGUUAUAUGUGCUCAUUAGAAGAGGCAAUGCCAUAGGAUUACAAUGCAUAUAAAAAUUAAUUAGCCAUAAAAUGCUUAAUAGUGAGACAGAGUAAGAGGCUAUCAUAGCAGUGGAAGGAAACCCUGUUGCAGUGUUUAGCUCUGCAGCUGCUUUGUUUUGAUUGGAGUUGCGUUUUUUAUGCAAACAAAGGAUUUUCCAUUAAACUUGAUCAAACUACUGGACACUGAUUUAUCUGUAACAGUGGUAUUAAACAAAGAAAUUGGACUUAAAGAAGCUAGCAAGACAUCAGCUUGAGGCAGCAUUAGCCUAAAAGCUGCUGCAGUGAUUACUUUCCUUGUCUUCAACAGUUUUUUGGCUGCAUGACUUCCUCCCUCAUUUUUUAAGCUCAUGGUAUCUUAGUUUUCUUCUCUCCUCAGACUCCUCAGUUUUUACCCCCUGGUGCUUUCUCAGACACAUUAGCGGAACACCAAAUAUGCUGCUUUUUUAACUUCAUAUAAGAUAGCAGCAUGGUCUGGCGGGCACCGUUUUCCAAGCCUAAUAAGGCGACAGGAAGGAUUACAAGAAGAAGUGAGCGUAACUUCAUUCACUCUGUGCUUCUCCAGUUUCAACCAGCCUGUUGUCAUUGGCUAAUUAAUACUGGUGCAGCAGGCAGAGAUUAGUCCAAACAUGAUUGAUUUGAAAGGAUCUGGUUCUGCCUCAAUCCAGGCUCAGGAAGGAGGGGAAAAAAAAAAGACUCCUAAACUGGUCCUAUUUGUUCUAGUGUGAUGAAGCGUCUGUCUGAGUCACCAUGCAAUUGAGAAUUAUUCACUCACCAGUUCAUGAGAAACUGCCAGCGUCAGGUUUGGCUGCCUUCAUGAAUACAUUCAAAGUGAAGGUCACACUGAGGAGCACGGUGGCGGGUUGGGCACUGGAGCAGGAAAUAGCGAAGAAUUAGACUGACUUGCUCUAAAUAAAACAGCAAGUCACUUUUCCCCUCUGCCUCGCUUUGACUCUUCGCAGGUGUUUAAACACGAUGCAUAAACGCGUACACGAGGCGGCAUUUUAGGGGAAAAACUGUUCUUUUAGUUUCUUGUGUGGAGCCGGCGAGUGGGAAAAAAAGAGACAAAUCUACUGAUAGAGCUUUCAGAGGCAAAGUAAAUCUCCUGUAGUGCGAUUGCUAUCUUUUAUAUAACCGGCACAAACAUUUCCUGUUCUCUGUCUCCAAAUAGCUCAAUGUAAGAGUGACAUAAUAUCAGCACCCAGGGAAGCUUGUGUGGUGGAAGGAAGUACUGGAGAGUGAAAAGAUCCAUAAAAGAGAUCUUUGGACACGCUGAGAAAAUGCUUAUUUGAUUUCUUGCCAAGAGUAGGAUGGAGGGGUCUUAUCUUUACCAGUGUAAAGAAGCUUUUAAAGUGGUCCUGUUGCAUCUGAUGGAGCGGAGGUUUACUCGCUUUUAGGCUCAGUGCACAACCUUUACAAGAUCUGUGAUCAACCUGUCCAUCCUGCUUUAAGAUUAUAUUGAAAUGAAACUUGAGCGCCAAGUUUCAGGGCUAGUGCCUCGACUUAAAGGGAUAUUCCGGCGUAAAAUUAAUUUAGGGUCAAACACACCAUUACACCGACUUGAACUUACCCCCUCUAGAGAUGAAUGUUGCAGACUGCUUGCUUCUCUAGUUAUACUUACUGUAGUGACGGCCACACAAUAGCAAUACACAGCAGACUGAGGAUGCUCAGACUGAGCAUUGUUUGUGGUUAGAGUGGCGUUUUGGUUGAGGUUUGUUUAUGGCGCCUCAGACCGCUGUGUAUUGCUAUCAUGUGGUCGUUACUAAAGUUGGCACAACUAGAGAAGCAACAUUCAGCAACAUUCAUCACUCAAGGGGGUGUCUAAGUUGGUGUUACCGUGUGUUUGACCCUAAAUUAAUUUUACACCGGAAUAUCCCUUUAAGCUUAUACAUCAAGACUUGGAAGAUGAGGAAACUUGUUUUUUGUGCAUUAUCAUUUACUCAUUUAUUGCAACUCCUUCUGAUCUGCUUGUAACAAAUCGACUGAGUGAAAAUGUCCAACUAGUCUGUGAGAAGCAGCCACAGAGCUGCUGCUGUAAAAUAUAAUUCACCAGUAAUGUGGCACAAAAAAAUAAGACAGAAAGGUGGAGCUGCUACGUGCACGCACAGUAUAUGAGGUCUUCUAUGCCAAACUGCCUCCCUAAGCAAUAGGCCCCCUUUACUCUUCCUAAAUCUCAGGGAAUUAAUUACAACACCGGUGAUGUAAGUGCCAACUGGCACAGUGCCGAUGGCUCGGUGAUGGCCUCAGUGAACAGACUGCUUUAUGAGCUAAACACGGGUGGCAGAGAUGGACGAGAUAAGAAGAGUCAGGGAGAAAAAGAUUGAAGGAGCUGUUGAGGAAACUCAUUAAUGAGCGGCAUGGAUUGAGGGUACAACACAUGCACAUACAGGAGCUGUGGUCUGAUUUAUAGUCCCGUACUGUAGAUUUAUAAUAAAGCAUCCAAAGCCUUUCUUCAGACUCAAAGAGGAAGCUCAAACCCUCUUCUACCCUCCCCACCUUCACAGGCUGGAGGCUGGUGCUGUGACAGAGUUGAUUUGAAUCCAUUUUGGCUUCUCACUCAUGUAACUCCUCAUUUCAUCCUCUGAGCUGUCCGCAGAGUCCUGUCACAAAGAUGAAGUUUAGCUUACACCACAGCUGUUGCAACAGAUUUUCUCCCUCUUUCUUCCUGUGGGCUCUGGUGUCACAGUGGGAUCUUUCUUUGGGCUUUGUCUCUCUCUAUGCAACUCAAGCUCCAGACUCUUCUGCCUCAUUCUUAAAUAUCUGCACAACCCUGUAAAGACAAACCACUCGCUAAUUAACCCACAAUAAAAGGAUAUUGCACAGUAUGCCAAUGGGACCCACAUCGUGCCGCCUCUGACCUCCUCUUUGUUUCCUUUGUCCUCUUCUUUGUGUGCUACAUGUAGCGCCAAGGGACAUCCUGUCAGCAUGUGAAUAGCCACUGUUCAUCUCUGGAUACAGCUGUGCCCCCUGUACCCUCUCUGCAUGACCCAUAUUCUGUUAGCAAAAUGCCCUGACAGAUGUGAUGCAGCCACCCUCUGACUUUCUCCCCAUACCCAAGAGCUAAAAUAUUCUUAGCUCGCUUUAACGUACAAUGAUAUUGGUUGAAGUUUCUUGCAAUUCCUCUAGAGUUGACUUGUGGUGUUAGGGCUAUGAUUGUUUAGUCUAAGACCUUUGUCCAAUGAAAGCCAAGCUAGCAUUUGAGAAAAUGACCUUGCAUGAUACUUUUUUCAAAUUCCUGCCAGUCAUUUUUUUUAAAGAUUCAUUUUGGAGCUUUAUUAGACAGGAUGGGACAGAGAUGAAAAAAGAGAGAGAGACAGCAGGGAGUGACAUGAGGGAAGGGAGCCACAGGUCGUAAUUGAACCUAGACCACCCCAUGGGGCACGCUUAGACCACCCCCAUGACUGUCAUUGUAACAAGAGUGUCACAACCUGGAGUCCCUCAGAAGUUUUUUCCUGAACUUUUUCCUUUACAAAAGAUGUUAUAACCUAAAGGCAUGGUUGACGAUUGGAGAGAUUGGUAAUUAUUAUGAACCUCGUUUAUAUGGCCAUCAUGGUCCCAUAGUGCAAUCUCCACGAAGUGAAGAACAAAAAGAAUGGAAAAAAUCUGUUCUCCCUAGCAGUUGCAGGGCUGCGAAAACAUUUACAAAUGGGAGUCAUCCAUCCCAGACGCGAUAUUUUUUUUGUAGGAUGGUAGGGAAAAGUCCCACCUCCUUCGCCUCUGAUUGGCUAGAAAAGCUUGAAAGGUUGUCACAUGCUCAAGCCAAAUGUGGGCUGUCGGCUCUGUACAUCCAACAGAACAUUGGAGAACAUUAUCGCACUUCUGAAUCUCCUAACCCUAACCCUAAUUCUAAUCCUAGCCCUAACCCUUACCCGACAUUUCACAGCCAUAAGGAAUAACCAAUCAGAGCUCAGCACUUCUAGCCAAUCAGAGGUGAAAGAGGGCAGGACCUUCCCCUACCAUCCUACAAAAAAAAAUUCUGCGUCCUGGACAGCUCCUAUUGGUCAAUCUCCUGCUCUGCCUCUCCAUCCAAUCACCACUUGAAUAUACUCAAGGGAGUUUGUCUGUAUCUCUAGAGAGUAUUCAGCUCCAAGAUCAUUGUGCCUUUUAACAAUAAGGAGGAAAAGGAUAUCUAAUAUCUGAUACAGAGAGAGGCCUGUGUCUAAACUUCAAUAUAACACGAUUGGGGCUCAGCUGGUGAGGAAACAGUCCUCUAGACUAAGCAUCUUGAGAAGUGAAGCGAAUGUGGAAGUGCUCGAAACUGUAGUUCCUCAGGUGUCCACUUGAGGCUGGCCACUCAAUCCAGCUUUAAGUGGGCAUAUCCGAAAACCCUGUCUACGGUGCUUUGAGUAGUGUGAAGGAGGUCGCUCAUUGUCUGAGUGGUUUUAUAACUACCCUUGAAUUAAAACUUGAAGAGGCAUUUAUAUGAGUAUUGGAUACUCCAUAAUACAAACUUGUAAGCACAUGUGCAAACAUUGCAAAACAGAUGAGAUUGUUAUUGUCAUCUUUUGUACAAUUGCGAUUGUAAUCAGUCACCUAUAUGAAAGUAUCUAAGGUCUAAACUUAAGUCUGCUUGCUUUGUAUAUGACUUCAGUGAGGCCCCAAAGCCUCUGUUAGACACGGAGCUCUGCCCCUGACACUUUUUAAAGUGGCUCUUUCACACAUGUCCCUCAUACUUGAGUCUUCCCUGUCAAACAAGGGGGGCUGGUAGUCAAGAAGAAGGAGACGAGCCCCAGGAGACAAGACAUAACAUAAAGCACCCACUUAAAGGAGCCUCACUGCUGUGUUUACGACAUGAUGGAGGGAGUAGUGGGGACCAUAACUAAAAAGAUAGUUUGUGCAUUGUUGUGUUUGUAAUGCUGUGUGCUGAUAUCAUCUUAUGGAUGACUCGUCUUCUUCGCUUUUGGAUGUUGUUAUUUGGUCGGUUAUAGGUCACUGUUCUGUGUUUUCACAAUUAUCAGGGUAGGGGGUGUGGGCCCCUUAAGAAAAGCAUCAAACUGGGCCCCACCACUUCGAUAACAAAAAUGUUCUGCUAUUUUAAGUGCCGUCUUAAGGAAUAGACCCGUUAAGAGGUCCUGACUUUUCUCUCUCCGGUGACAUCCCCCCGUCUGCCUGGUGGCUUUGAACUUUGAACUACGUGUUAUAAUUGUGUUUUACUUUGCUAGUGUUAGAUUUGAACUUUUUCACUGAACUCAUGCAAUUUAACAAAUAUUUUCAUUUAGCUUAUCAGUUGUUCUCAUUUAGUCAGAGAGGUGUGACGUCUAGCUUGAUAAGGUGGAACCUGAUGAGCAACAAGGCUCUUUUUGUUCUGCCGGACAGGUUUGCUUCAGAAGUUACAUGCCUCAAGGCCAACAACACACACACACUCAAAUUUUAUAGUACAUUUUAGUAAAACCAUGUGAACAGUGGUUGGGCUCUUCACGUUGGAGAUAACUGGCCAAUGAUACUCGGUUGAGUAAGCGGAAAUUUCAGUCUGUGUUAACAUAUGCAGUCCAUCCUGAAAAUUUCAGUCUGUGUUAACACAUGCACCCCAUCCUGAAAAUUUCAGUUUGUGUUCACACAUGCAGCUCAUUCUGAAAAUUCCAGUUUCUGUUCACACAUGCAGCCCAUCCAAAAAAUUUCAGUUUGUGUUAACACAUGCAGCCCAAUCCAAAAAAGUUCAGUUUGUGUUAACACAUGCACCUCAUUCUGUAAAUUUCAGUUUGCUUUAACACAUGCAGUCCAUCCUGAAAAUUCUGGAUGUUUCAGGACUUCUGUGCAUGUGUGAAUACAGCUUCAAAGCGAGACUAUGUCCAUCCAUCCUCUUCAAGACAGUUCUGUUUCUUCACAAACAACCCUAACCAAUUUUAUGUUCAGAUAUUCCCUCUAAAGAGUAACUACUGAAGGCUCAGAGCUCCAAACAAAAGUGGUGUGGCCUUGUAAUUGUGAUGAGAUUGGUAAUUAUCAGCUAAGACUUCUACAAAUGCGGAAUAAUCAAUUUCACUACACAUUCAGCUUACAAAGCGCCUGAUAAAUACAGUUUUAUAAAUUGUCUGAAGAACCAAACAAAGGCCCAGUCUCUUUAAGGAGCAUUCAGUUGCAGAGCUCCAUCAAAACACAACACACUCUCAGGCCUGUUAUUGGCAGCUCAGCAGAUGGUUGGUGUUAAAUUCUGUGAUGGACUGCAGCCGGCCGGAUCGAUAGCUCUCCUCUUCCAGGAGGAGAUGUGAUUAGACUAACCUGCUGCUACUCCCACUCUCUUUUUCCAUCAGCGAAGGAAAACACUCAAAAUACACUUAGUGUAAACAUACACACAUAAAAACACACUUACUGUAAUGACAUACACCUGGAGGUAUGCACACACACACAUGCACUCCCACGUGCACCCUAGAGAAAAUUGAAUGUUUGAGCUUUGCUCCGAGUAGCACUCAGAGAAAGUCAAACAGUGACUCAGCAGACAGACAGACAGAGAGAGAGAGAGAGCAGAGAGGGGGAGACAGACACAGACACAGGUAAGGAGGGCUGCAUAAAAAUGAUGGAAUUAAAGCUUUGAAGUGAGAGAAAGAAAGAGCCAUAAUUUCACUGUCUAUAUUUAUUUGAUCAUCAUGUAUCAACCCUAGAAUUACCGCUCUGACUUAUUUCUUCUGCACGUACAUCUCCUCAUGAUGCCUGUUGUCUCUGAUCCGUUGUUUAUACUUUAUUUCAAAGGAGGCGUAACAUCAUUAUUCCCUGACACUGAUGCAUCUCGGUUGCCACAUCACUUCAUUUUAAAUCUCACUCCUGCCACUGCUGCCUCCACUUUCUGCUUUAUUUUACCAUCUCUUCUCUUUUUCCCCUCAUGUCUCACUUUCGCUUCGUUUCACACUCUUUAUCACCCAAUCGUUUUUUUUUCCAAUUAUCACAUCUAAUGAGUUUAGAUCAUUAGACCAUGAUGGGGUCAGUAAUCUAGCCCAUGAAUUGAAGAGACGCCCCGUAUCUCUGAUGCACAUUAGAGGUGUUUGAAUUGGUGUUACAUUUUAGAGUGAAUUUCUCCCCUCGGAGGUUAUUCAUUACAUAACAUUAAUUGUCUAUCAAAAGAGUGAGUGCCCACUGUGACUCCUCUGUUUUUCCUUUUCUAGACAGUGAGUGCAAUCUUUCUCUAUUCAAAGUUCACACAUUACUCAGCCUUUUUCUUUGUUGUCUUUAACAACCUAAUUGAAAAACCAGACUUGUCGAGAGGGGCAGCAGUAAGUAAGAUUCAUGAUGCGUUGCCGACAUGAAGUCGUACAUCAUAGUUUGUGAGGCGGGCGACAGAAGCUGCCAUUAUUGGAUCAACGUUGCUUCAUUAAGUCCCAACACGACCCAGUCUGUGGCUUGCGCCUGUGGACAGAGAGGAGGAAGGAGAGUAAGAGAGAGAGAGAGAGGGGUGAAGAAAGCCAAAAGCUGAGGGAAAUAGAGAAUGAGAAUGGAGUUAAAGAGGAGAAAAGGCAAAAGGGAAGUGAAAAAAAAAACACUCGAACCAAGCUGAAGCCGGCCAGUUUGUUCUGAAUCCAACAUAAUUUAGCGUUUUUUCAUUGGCAGAAAACGUGAUGCAGUAAUCGUUGAGUAAGCGAACAAUGCAUCAGGGAUUGUGGCCAACAGCUUCCUGUUUAUUCUAGCUUACUCCACAUUUCCACAAAGACUCAGGCAGCGGGUUGGCAACCCCCUGAAUGGUGAACCACCUCCAAGUUUAGAGGCUUAUUUCCAUCAAUCUGUCGGUCUAAUUUCCCAAACCACAUUUCCUGUAACCUCACUGGGUUACAUUAUAGCUGCAGCAAUACAUUCAUACCUGACAAAUUCAAACCCAAAUAUCUAAUUGUACACACUACCACAGUGAUAGACUAACAGGUGUGUGCAAAUUCCUGUACUGCUGAGCUGUGGGCCCAGACUGGCAAAGAGAGGGUGCCAUCUAGUGGCUGUCCUUUGCGUCGCAGCAGCAGCACAAAUAACGUCUUGUCUUUGGAGACAUUAGUCCUUGGAAACUUGCUCAGGUUUUUUCAAUUAAUCCAGAUAAUUAGACAUGCUUUUAGGACUGUAUUGGCAUGCACAGACUGCACUUAAGGCCUAAUCAGCCACAUUAAGUGGAAACACCUGCGUCAGUGCGAGGACUUAAAUAUCAUUGAAAUGCUAAAAUGCUGUCUCCUCCACAGCGAGUUUCAAGGUAUUUUUCCAACCCACUAAUUUCAUUCGCUCCUCCGAAAAACUGCAUUUAAAUGAAGUCACAUUCACGUCUUAUCACUCCAUCAGUACAUGCCUCUCUCAAAGAAGUGAAUCACAUUUCUCUAUCUCAAUUAAAAUCUUUGCUCCUAAUUAGAAGCUCCAGUGGGUAGGACAAAUUGAUGCAUCAUGCGCAGAGAUAGCUCAAAUAGGAUUUUAAUGAAGAACAGAUUGAUCUAGAGUUACCAAGUAAAAUGAAAAUGAUUAAAACAUAUUGGACCAAUGCUGGAGUUUGGAAGAUUAUCACGCUCAUACAUGAGUGGGUAUAAGUAAGAAAACAGCAAAUAAACAACAAUUGGAUGGGAGAAAGGCAUUUACAGUUUGAGUGUCUGACAAAAAGGGUGAUUAUUGUUGCGUGAGUCCGACCUUUUUAACAAGAUCAAAAAGUUAUGACUGAGACUGCAGUUGAGGUGAACAUGAUGAAGCAUAGUCUGGAUAAAAAGUAGACUAAGUUACUGACUGAUGCAGAUGUAGAGUUUCAUCACAUCGUAAGUAGAAGUUUGCCUGUUGAAGUUAGAAAGUUGGUGGUAAUGUGAGUGUGUUUCUGCCUCAAUCUUUUCAACAUUAUGGCUUAUUAA